Molecule: ribosomal RNA, 207 nt
Filed under: uncultured bacterium
Lineage: Bacteria
Description: partial 16S ribosomal RNA
Rfam family: Bacterial small subunit ribosomal RNA
Source: RNAcentral
CGGAUUGCAGGCUGCAACCCGCCUGCAUGAAGUUGGAAUCGCUAGUAAUCGCGGAUCAGCAUGCCGCGGUGAAUACGUUCCCGGGCCUUGUACACACCGCCCGUCACACCAUGAGAGUCGGGGACACCCGAAGUCCGUAGUCUAACCGCAAGGGGGACGCGGCCGAAGGUGGAUUCGAUAAUUGGGGUGAAGUCGUAACAAGGUAUC